RNAcentral lists this long non-coding RNA (560 nucleotides) under Vulpes vulpes (red fox). RNAcentral describes it as "lncRNA (ENSVVUG00000000070.1)". The record is from RNAcentral. Lineage: Eukaryota; Metazoa; Chordata; Mammalia; Carnivora; Canidae.
UUAAGAACUGGUGGUCUUUCCAAACACAGGAAUACUCCAUGAGCCACCAACUACAUUCUUACAUACACAGCCAACAGAAACCCAUACCUAGUAUGUAAAAAGUUAAAAAAUAUUCAAGGUUGGUGAUCCUGCCAAGUCUAAUCCAAUGUUCCCAACUCCAACCUUCACAUGUUCAUUCUGCUCCUUGUGUAUGGCCCACAACAUUUUACAUGCCCAGUCAGAAAAGAAGACAAUUCUCUGCAUGGUAUCUUCUUAUGUCAUAGAAACAUAAUUGGCAAAUGGGACCAUAUACCAUUUCAAUUGAUCUACAGCUAUAAACUCAUUCUACUAUUUAAGAUCCUCCAAACAAAACAACCUGUGAAAGAGAGACUACAGAGAAGAACAUCCAUGGCUAUUCGUCAGGUUUAUAGAAAAACAUCCCUGAAAAACAGGACAUGUUUAGUUAUUUAAGGAGAAAUGUAAAUGGAAAAAUACCCAAGGAAGCAGAGUAAUUAAAUGAUUUUCAAUGAUUUAAGUCUCAUUCAUUAUGUACUUUGCAUAAUCAUUUAAGAAAAAAAAUC